Molecule: ribosomal RNA, 429 nt
Filed under: Gemmatimonadota bacterium
Lineage: Bacteria; Pseudomonadati; Gemmatimonadota
Description: Gemmatimonadetes bacterium partial 16S ribosomal RNA
Rfam family: Bacterial small subunit ribosomal RNA
Source: RNAcentral
UAGGGAAUCUUCGGCAAUGGACGAAAGUCUGACCGAGCAACGCCGCGUGAGUGAAGAAGGUGUUCGGAUCGUAAAACUCUGUUGUUAGAGAAGAACAAGGACGUUAGUAACUGAACGUCCCCUGACGGUAUCUAACCAGAAAGCCACGGCUAACUACGUGCCAGCAGCCGCGGUAAUACGUAGGUGGCAAGCGUUGUCCGGAUUUAUUGGGCGUAAAGCGAGCGCAGGCGGUUUCUUAAGUCUGAUGUGAAAGCCCCCGGCUCAACCGGGGAGGGUCAUUGGAAACUGGGAGACUUGAGUGCAGAAGAGGGGAGUGGAAUUCCAUGUGUAGCGGUGAAAUGCGUAGAUAUAUGGAGGAACACCAGUGGCGAAGGCGGCUCUCUGGUCUGUAACUGACGCUGAGGCUCGAAAGCGUGGGGAGCAAACAGG